This 1185-nucleotide long non-coding RNA is filed under the name Manihot esculenta (cassava). Its description in RNAcentral is "long non-coding RNA (MESC_LNC002794)". The record is from RNAcentral. Lineage: Eukaryota; Viridiplantae; Streptophyta; Magnoliopsida; Malpighiales; Euphorbiaceae.
GUAACAGCCCGGAAACCGGUACCCUCUUUGUAACGGCCCAAACUGCUCGGCACUAGGAUCCAGAUCGACUUAAGGCCGCCUAGACCCGUAGUAAGCCUAUCCUGAACUCUGUGUAUCUGUUAAAAUCCCAUACAUGAUCCGACUGGACUAUAACUGUUACAACUUGUCUGUAACACAACCAGACUUAACCUGUAAAACACUCUCUGGAGGUCCAAUCAUGUGAACCAAAAGCUCAGACAUACUAGUCUGAACUACCCCUCAGGGGCUAACCAGCGACGCUCUACCAAGUAACCUCCAUGCACUAUGCGCACUGCAGCAUAGAACCCACUCUGUAAGGGUCAGCAUAUCAUAAGUUAACUUGGUUACCAUAGAGUCACAGGAAUCAAACCUGAUCUUCUCUAGUGGUCUACUCUGUGGAUCACAGGAAUCAAACCUGGUCUUUCCUCUGUAGCUACUAUAUGUCACUGGGUUUUCGAAACACAACAUAAAGUAAGUCUGGUCUGACUCAUUUCUCAUCAAGAAACUUUAAAAACAGGAUACAUGCAUAUACCAAGGAUUAAACAUACACUACUAUAGGCAAAAGCACAUUCUAUCUCAUAUACAACUCAACUGACUAUCUAUUACAUCUCUUUACAAAUCUUUCUUUAUAUUUACAUCAUGUCCACACUAUGCUAUUACACAUGCACUACUGCAAUCGACACUCUGCUGCUUCUCACUUCCCAGCUACUCUGUACCUGCAACACUGGGGUUAGGGGAAAGGGAUGAGCUACUAAAGCCCAGUGAGUAGAAACACUGAAAAACAGUUCAUUCAUACGCAUUUACUAUGAAAAUGUAUCACAACUCAAGCAUCUCAAUAUAUCUUGGAUUAGACAUGACCCCAAAACUCCCUCGACGGGCUAUUGAAGUCGCCUUGGUCCAAUCCCCACUAAGGUAGACAUGACCCCAAAAAUACCCUCUGUCAACACUGACCUGACACAAUGACAGGAGCCGAAGCUUAGGCUAUUGGAGUCGCCUGGGUCCACCUAAUCUCUGAUCACAUAAUAUGCAAUGCAACAACUUCGUGAUUCUAAUGCAAAUCACCCUAAUAUAAAUCAUAGCAUCCAUGAUGCAUGAACUAUGCUCAUACAGUCUGUAUCUUUUAAUAAAAAGAUUAAGUUUAGUUCUACUCACCUCUGCUCCUCUGGC